This 253-nucleotide ribosomal RNA is filed under the name uncultured bacterium. Its description in RNAcentral is "partial 16S ribosomal RNA". It matches the Rfam family "Bacterial small subunit ribosomal RNA", at positions 524 to 776 of the family's 1533-position model. The record is from RNAcentral.
UACGGAGGGUCCAAGCGUUAUCCGGAAUCAUUGGGUUUAAAGGGUCCGUAGGCGGGCUAUUAAGUCAGAGGUGAAAGUUUGCAGCUCAACUGUAAAAUUGCCUUUGAUACUGGUUGACUUGAGUCAUAUGGAAGUAGAUAGAAUGUGUAGUGUAGCGGUGAAAUGCAUAGAUAUUACACAGAAUACCGAUUGCGAAGGCAGAUCACUAAUAAUCAACUGACACUGAUGGACGAAAGCGUGGGGAGCGAACAGG